CCACAGCAAUAAUACUCACAGUAAUGUGUCUGAGUGAAUAACAGAGCUCCACAGCAAUAAUACUCCCAGUAAUGUGUCUGAGUGUAUAACAGAGCCCCACAGCAAUAAUACUCCCAGUAAUGUGUCUGAGUGUAUAACAGGGCCCCACAGCAAUAAUACUCCCAGUAAUGUGUCUGAGUGUAUAACAGAGCCCCACAGCAAUAAUACUCCCAGUAAUGUGUCUGAGUGUAUAACAGAGCUCCACAGCAAUAAUACUCCCAGUAAUGUGUCUGAGUGUAUAACAGAGCU
Molecule: non-coding RNA, 288 nt
Organism: Pelobates cultripes (western spadefoot toad)
Lineage: Eukaryota; Metazoa; Chordata; Amphibia; Anura; Pelobatidae
Source: the annotation of a GenBank genome assembly